Molecule: ribosomal RNA, 130 nt
Organism: Mustela putorius furo (domestic ferret)
Lineage: Eukaryota; Metazoa; Chordata; Mammalia; Carnivora; Mustelidae
Source: Ensembl
GUCUACGGCCAUACCACCCUGAACGCGCCCGAUCUCGUCUGAUCUCUGAAGCUAAGCAGGGUCAGGCCUGGUUAGUACUUGGAUGGGAUAGUCAGUUGUGUUUCCUUAUUGCGAUCAGCUGUCCUAGCUG